This 72-nucleotide transfer RNA is filed under the name Sphaerodactylus townsendi. RNAcentral describes it as "tRNA-Ala". It matches the Rfam family "tRNA". Rfam says of the family: Transfer RNA (tRNA) molecules are approximately 80 nucleotides in length. The record is from RNAcentral. Lineage: Eukaryota; Metazoa; Chordata; Lepidosauria; Squamata; Sphaerodactylidae.
UGAGUUGUGGCUCAGUGACAGAACGCCUACUUUGCAUGCAGCCGGUCCCAAGUUCAAUUCCUGGCAUCUCUA